Molecule: ribosomal RNA, 334 nt
Filed under: uncultured bacterium
Lineage: Bacteria
Description: bacterial SSU rRNA
Rfam family: Bacterial small subunit ribosomal RNA
Source: RNAcentral
CGGCCGCGUCGACAGAAGACUCCAUGGUUAAUACCCAUGGACGAUGACAUUAGCUGCAGAAUAAGCACCGGCUAACUACGUGCCAGCAGCCGCGGUAAUACGUAGGGUGCAAGCGUUAAUCGGAAUUACUGGGCGUAAAGCGUGCGCAGGCGGUUCUGUAAGAUGGGUGUGAAAGCCCCGGGCUCAACCUGGGAAUUGCAUUCAUGACUGCAGGACUAGAGUUCACCAGAGGGGGGUGGAAUUCCAAGUGUAGCAGUGAAAUGCGUAGAUAUUUGGAAGAACACCGAUGGCGAAGGCACGCCCCCUGGGGUGCGACUGACGCUCAUGCACGAAA